AACCCCCCCCCCCCCCACGCUUUUUUUUUUUCCGGAGCUGAGGACUGAACCCAGGGCUGGAUGUUCUUCCCAAAAUGAGUUUGGUGAUUAAAAAUCUGCAGCGGGUGGUCCCCAUCAGAAGAGUACCACUUCGCAGGAAGAUGGAUAUGGUCCGGAGUAUUUUAGGAGUGAAGAAUUUUGACCUGGGGAUCAUCUGUAUUGACAAUAAGAGUAUUCAGCACAUUAAUAGGAUCUACAGGAAGAAAAACGUCCCAACUGAUGUGCUUUCUUUCCCCUUUCAUGAGAAUCUGAAAGCAGGUGAAUUUCCUCAGCCAUACUCACCAGAUGAUUAUAAUUUGGGAGAUGUUUUUCUAGGAGUGGAAUAUAUCUUCCAGCAGUGCAAAGAAAAUGAAGAUUACUAUGACAUCCUAACGGUGACAGCCACCCAUGGACUCUGUCACCUUCUGGGCUUCACCCACAACUCCGAGGCUGAGUGGCAAAAGGUACCUGCCGAGGCCAGAAGAGGGAGUUGAUUUCCUGGAACUGGAGUUGCAGUGGUUGUGAGCUGCCUGAUGUGGAUGCUGGGAGCCAAACCCAGGCGAUCUAUAAGAGCAAUGUACAGUCAGGAGAAGCUGGUGCUGGAGGAACUAAAUCGCUGCACCGGAAGCAGGCUCCAGCCCCUGAGCAGGGGCCUCUACUAAUGCUUCGAUGCCCUGAGAUAGCGAAGUUGAUGAACAGAGUCCUGCCCCUCCAGGGCGGCUCUCUGCCGGUCAUGCCAUCCUGGAUGACAUCAGCCCACACUAAAGUUUAGUCCCGUGAGUGGAAAUUGGCUUCAGAAAGUACCGAAGAGGUGUCUGACUGGUUCUUGCUCUGUUUAGAAGACUGUCUUGAUUAUUGUAAACAGUAGUUCUAGGCCAUUUCUAAGAGAAGAAACACGUAAGUUCUGUAUGCUUCUGUGGGUUUCUAGUGGCAGAGUUUGGGUGGACUGCCCUGUCUCCCUGAAGUGGAACCCACGUCUCAGAACACUGAAAUCUGUUCUUCCUAGGAGACCGGGCACCUGCAAGAGAAGCAGACUCAAAAGGGCAAGGCUCCCACCCCAGCCCUCAGGAACUCUGUGACCUGAACCUUGUUUGCGCCACUCCUAAGAGCUACUAUAUGCCCUCACUUUUCUUAAGCCAUUGGCUACAAACACCAUAAGAAAGCCCAGUGACCUACAAAGCCCGUCUCCCAGGGGCCAGAGAUUCAGUCAGGCCCAUCUCCAAUCCCCUUAUCAUUGUUGUUAUUUUAAUUUGAUGUAUGUGUAUGUGUAUGGGUGCACAUAUUCCACAGCAUGCUAUGGUGAUAUUUUAUUUGUACUGAAAUGUGAUUUUAUUUGUAUGUUAAUAAAGUUGCCUGGGGGUCAGAGCUAAUAGCAAGCCAUAGCAGAAGCCAGGCAGUGGUGGCACAUGCCUUUAAUCCCAGCACUUGAGAGACAGAACUAGGCAGAUCUCUGUGUGUUCAAGGACACAGCCAGCAUGGAGACAUACGCCUUUAAUCUCAAUACCAACCUUCAAAGACCUGGAGGUCUGUUUAGACAGGCAGUGACUAGGAGGUCAUGUGGUUGGGUUUACAACCAAUGAGAAGGCAGAACAGAAAGUCAAUAAAAGGACAGACACACAGGAGGUAGGUCUCUUUCUGAGGGAAGGACAGUGGCAGCUAAGGGUAAGAAAGGCAGUUUUAGCUGGGCGGUGGUGGUAGGCCAGCCCGGUCUACAGAGCGAGAUCCAGGAAAGGCGCAAAGCUACACAGAGAAACCCUGUCUCGAAAAACAAAGAAAGGCGGUUUUAAGUCUCAGCUCUCAGCUGCUGCUCUGACCUCUUGGGCUUUUAACUGCAA
Molecule: RNA transcript, 1853 nt
Organism: Peromyscus californicus insignis
Lineage: Eukaryota; Metazoa; Chordata; Mammalia; Rodentia; Cricetidae
Gene: Ybey
Gene name: ybeY metalloendoribonuclease
Exons: 5
Source: RefSeq, a predicted model, not a curated record